UACAGAGGGUGCAAGCGUUGUUCGGAAUUAUUGGGCGUAAAGCGCGUGUAGGCGGCAGUGCAAGUCGGGUGUGAAAGCCCUCAGCUCAACUGAGGAAGUGCGCCCGAAACUGCAUUGCUUGAGUACCGGAGAGGAUGGCGGAAUUCCCGAAGUAGAGGUGAAAUUCGUAGAUAUCGGGAGGAACACCAGUGGCGAAGGCGGCUCACUGGCCCGUAACUGACGCUGAGGCACGAAAGCGUGGGGAGCAAACAGG
This 253-nucleotide ribosomal RNA is filed under the name uncultured bacterium. RNAcentral's name for it is "partial 16S ribosomal RNA". It matches the Rfam family "Bacterial small subunit ribosomal RNA", at positions 524 to 776 of the family's 1533-position model. The record is from RNAcentral.